AUACACUAACACACUCACACAUACACUCAUACACGCACAAUCACACAUGCGCACACAUACACUAAUACACUCACACUCACACACACACACACACAUAUGCACACAUGGACACAUGCACAUGCACAUACAGGAAAUUGAAAGUGGCCAGUUGAUUGUAGUAAAUUCCCCCUUUCAGCCAGUAUUUAUUUGCACACUGUUUGAAACAUGCUGAUCUAUGAGUAUUGCAGUAUUAUUCUGUUCCAAGGCUAAGUUGAGCACCGUAAUGUGAUGCCUUUUCGGUGUGUUGAAUGUUUCACAGUGUGCUCUGUGAGGCCUGUUUGAAUAGGAAAGUGUGAUUCGGUCCUGUCUAAGCCGCAUGUUCCCAGUGCUACAGUCAGAUCAAAUGCAAACACAUGCACACGCUUCGCAGGGCUAGCAGUGCUUAAGAAAUUCAACAUUUGAACAUUACAGGUGAAUUUUAGUGACUGAUAUCCAGCAGUUAUAAUUUACAAACCUAAGGUACAAACCUGUAUAAUAAUGGAAUAUAACGGAGUUCAGCGCUUAAGGAUACAGCACAAGUACUCUUUGUUACUGAUGCAAUACUAGUGCAUUACAUUACCAUUGCAUUACAUUACUAACACUUUUGCUACAUGAAUUUACUGAUACAUUAUCAUGACAAUGAAUUACUGAUACAUCACCAUUAGUUUGACUUACUGAUACAUUACCUGUUGCUUUACAUAACUGAUACAUUACUGCUACAUUACCAGUACAGGAGCUGCUCCAAGCCUAUAGAAAUCAGUGGUGUGUUAAUGAGGCAGACUGCAGUGUUCACUGCAGAUCAUCACAGUGUGGAAUGUAAGCAUUUAUAUUCAGGGGGGCCUUGUGUCUACCAUGUGCGGUGUGCCAAAUCUCCCGGGGGGGCGGGGGGGGGGGGGGGGCGGGGGGGGGCAAAACAGGCCCCCUUACAGCAGUGAUUCUCCUGUGGGAAAACCUUUUUUAAUGGGGUGAAAUUGGUCAUGUAUGGACUGUGCUGGACACUGAUGUUGUGCUGAGAGGAUAGUGUACUGAGCACUGUGCCAUGCUGAAAAUAUACUGAUCACUAUUCUGAGUAGAGUGUACUGAGCACUAUGCUGAGUAUAUUGUACUGAGCAUUAUGUUGUGUUGAUAAUAUAGUGGGCACUAUGUUUAGUUGAGUGUAGUGAGCACUGUUUUGUUGAGAGGGUAGUGAAUGACCUUUUGUGGAAGGGUUUUUGAGCACUAAACAUUCAGGUUAAGGUGCUGUCAGUGGACGUUUUGAGCACUAAACGUUCAGUUUAAGGUGCUGUCAGUGGACGUUUUGAGCACUAAACGUUCAGUUUAAGGUCAGUGGACGUCUUUUCUCUAAACUGCCUUACAGUCCAAAGCCUUAUGCAGCUGUGUCAGGCUCCCCAGGAUUGCCUUUGACCUCUCCUGGUUCUGUAGUUCAGCCAAUGGGGUGCAGGGGGCACAAAUCUGAUUCUGUAUUUCAGCCAGUGGGGUGCAGGGGGCUCAAAUCUUGCAGAAUUUGUCAGUCUGAUUGGAUAGUUCUAAUGAACUGCUUGCACUUGCUGAACCAACCGUUUUGCACAGUAUUAAGAAGGAUGUAAUUGGAUCAAAAUAUUUAUAAAAAUCAUUUUUUAAAAAUUGAACACUAAAUAAGGACUAAACGGAACAUUUGAAAUUUUCAGUCAUCGACAUUUAAUCAUUUUUUUUCCAACAAAUAUUUUUAAAAGUUUUCUCAUAAAAGCCAAAAUUAUAGUUUACUAAAGCAUUUUGCACAAAAGGAGCAUUAAGAUCAUGGUAAUGUCACUUUUAUAUAUAUGUACGUUUAAAUAAAAGGUAUUCUGAAUGAUGUUACUAAUAUCUGUAUCUCUAAGUGUAUUGUAAUCAAAUAGAUCAAAUGUAAUCUAAGAUGUAUAAAAAUAAAACUAAUAUCUAUCAUUGUUUACAGAAUUUUUGAGAAUUUUAGUUUAAAAUGUUUACAGAAUUAUUGAUCUGAAUUUAAACUGCUUGUUGUACGUAGCUGAACGGUUUAUUUUUAAAGGCUGAUAUAAGUGAUUCCAUCUCAUUAUUUUCUCAUAUCUAAUAUAAAUGUAGCAUCUGUGAGGUUUGUGAUGAAAAUGGCCAAAUUAGAAUUUUAUUUCAGUGUUCCUGACUCUUGUGAAUUAUGGACUGUUAUCAUUCCUGGGGCAGAAUCCAAGGGUAAUUCCUGUUUGUGGUAAAGAACAGGACAGAGAUGACGUCUUGCUAAAAAGAUUUUCUCUCUCAGAUGUGUAGGACUAAUAUUAGCCUGCAGGGGUCUCCUGUCUCAUUUAGGUGAAAUGUAUUGAGUGAAUGAUGAGGUCGACUUGAAUGUUUUCACAAAACGUGUCUGGAAAGAAGAGUGCUAAAGAACUCUGGAUCAAAACAUUUAAAAUGGACAAAAAAGUGUCAUCCUUAUGAUUUUUCAAUACUGUAUUAACUGUUAGAAAAAAGUAAAUGGGUGUUACAAAUGUCCUGUAUUUCAAAUAAAUUUGAGUGCCAAAUAAA
Anguilla anguilla (European eel) is the source of this 2526-nucleotide long non-coding RNA. RefSeq lists it as uncharacterized. Lineage: Eukaryota; Metazoa; Chordata; Actinopteri; Anguilliformes; Anguillidae. The transcript has 2 exons. The record is from RefSeq and is a predicted model, not a curated record.